AAGAAAACUUUGUUGUGAAGGAGUCUUUCCCAGCAGUCGCCAUGCUGAGAGGAGGCGGAGAGGGGGAAAAGGGGCGAGCCACAGGCACUGCCAAGAGCAUCCUCCAGUGUGGGCUUCCCACGGGGCCACAGUCUCCUUUGGACAUCCCCUCCUUUGGUGUGGGGUCCUCCACAGGCUGCAGGUGAGAUCUGUUCCACUAUAGACCUCCAUGGGCUGCACAUGAUACCAGAUUAAACUAGUAUUCCAUUGUGGAUGGAGACACAGUCAAGGCUGAAAGGAUUCUCGAGAUAAGGAAGGCAUGCAACAGAAGAACCAAAUGUCUUCCUUCAAAUAGAUGAGGGCCUUCCUCUCUUCAAUAAGGAGGAAGAGAAAUAAGUAAAUGGCUGCAAGAGAAAACUGCUAGAAGAGCCUCUUAGGUCAUAAAUUUGCCCAAACAAGAGCAUGUAGUUAAUUGGCGAGACUAAACAAGCACUCCCAUGUCCUUAUAUAACAGAUGUCCAUAAAAGGGUAAAAUGAGGUAUUUCUCCCCAAGUGACCACCAUGACCAGCAAAGACCAUUCUUUGAAUUCACAGUGCCUGGCCGUAUCUACCCAAAUUACUAUAUGCAAUGAGAACUGGGUGGGAACUUCACAAAUUAUGAUGAAUAUGUAUAUAAUAAAUGUAUGUAAGCUGUAAACUGUCUCUUCUUGGUGUGCAUGAUAGGUGGAGUGAUUCCCCCAUGCACCCAAUACCGCAAUAAAGUCACAUCAGUUUCCUAACCUGU
Long non-coding RNA from Pezoporus occidentalis (night parrot), 763 nucleotides. RefSeq lists it as uncharacterized. The transcript is spliced from 2 exons. The record is from RefSeq and is a predicted model, not a curated record. Lineage: Eukaryota; Metazoa; Chordata; Aves; Psittaciformes; Psittacidae.